This is a long non-coding RNA of Spinacia oleracea (spinach), 781 nucleotides long. RefSeq lists it as uncharacterized. The transcript has 2 exons. Lineage: Eukaryota; Viridiplantae; Streptophyta; Magnoliopsida; Caryophyllales; Amaranthaceae. The record is from RefSeq and is a predicted model, not a curated record.
UAAUUUGUCAAGUCAGGUCAUAAUUAAUCAACUGAUUUUGGGUAUUUUGGAGAUUGCUUCUGUUGCUAGAUAUACUUGUCCAAUGUUCUGUCUAUUGUCUUCUCAUUUUCAUUCUGGUGCUGUCAUUGGUGCUGUCAUUAUUUUUGCUUUUAGGUUUUGCUCUUGUAGUAUUUUGGUAGAAGUGCGAUAAAAAGGGAAAAAAAAGGAUUUAAAAGAAAUUAAUCAUGUAUUUCUGGAGCCGUCAAAUGUGGUGUACGGGUUGAGUUAUGUCGGGUCAAUUCUGAAUUGGGGUGUGUCCAACUGUUCAAGUCUCAUUUCAUAGCUUUAGGUGUUUAAGAAUGCAAAUGGGUGCUACCUAAUUUCUAGAACUGCCCUCUUACAAGUUACAUAUUUGCUGCUACCCUUUUCAGGUUAUGACUUGCAGACCUCGGACAUAUAUUUUCAGGUUAUAACCAUGUUUGGGCGUGCUCUGAAGAAAAGUUAUAUAGCACCAAAUAUUACGAAACUCUUGGUGUCCCAAAAAUGCCACUCCAUAUGAACUCAAGAAGGCAUUACAGAAAAGCUACCAUAAAGUAUCACCCUCAUAAAGGUGGCGAUCCAGAAAAGAGUUGUAAGUUGCCACAAAGUUGGGCGAGGAACUAUCACGGCUGUUCUUUAUGCUAUUAGGCCGCUCGUGUUUAAUUUCUCUAAACUUAGUCAUGUAUUUUUUUAUGCUUAGCCAUGAUUUCUAUAUAUGUAACCUACAUCAAGGAAUCAACUAUGUUUGUUUUCAUGCUUUCAA